RNAcentral lists this transfer RNA (72 nucleotides) under bacterium (Candidatus Gribaldobacteria) CG10_big_fil_rev_8_21_14_0_10_41_12. RNAcentral describes it as "tRNA-Arg". It matches the Rfam family "tRNA". Rfam says of the family: Transfer RNA (tRNA) molecules are approximately 80 nucleotides in length. Their secondary structure includes four short double-helical elements and three loops (D, anti-codon, and T loops). The record is from RNAcentral. Lineage: Bacteria; Candidatus Gribaldobacteria.
GCUCCCGUGGUGAAACGGAUAUCACAAUGGCCUUCGAAGCCAUUAGUCCCCGUUCGAAUCGGGGCGGGAGCA